Non-coding RNA from Rattus norvegicus (Norway rat), 479 nucleotides. The record is from RefSeq and is a predicted model, not a curated record. Lineage: Eukaryota; Metazoa; Chordata; Mammalia; Rodentia; Muridae.
UCAGUAGCAACAGACACCUUGCCCCAUACAUGUACCACACACUCCCAGCAUUCCCGGGACCUGGCUUUGAUUUUCCUGUAUGUCUAUUCAUAUCUGCCCUCUGACCUUUCCCAGCCUGGGUUCUCUUUCAAGGGAGGAGGAGAGAAGCAGGUCGGACACAACUGUGAUCUGGACUGCUUGGAAGCCAGUCAGGCCUGACGAGACUGCCACUGGGGAUCCCAGCCUGGCAUCGGAGAACCACCCCGCCUCGCCCAGGACCCCCGCUCCUCAGUCACAACUUCCUGACUCUGCUCCUAGCCCCAUUCUCCAUGAGCUCUCAUUAUCUAAGCGCCAAUGCAAGCUGUCUUUGUGUGCCUCCAGCCCCCAGCAACCAUGGCUGCAGACCUGUUGUGACCUCCUGCACAUCUGCUCUGUGUCUGAAUUUCUCCAUCUGUGAAAUGGGUGCACAAUUAAAUGUGGCCAGCAGGGGCGUUGGAACA